AGACACCUGUUCAGAUAAAGGAAUUCGGUGCAAUAAAUAAAAUUGACUUCUGCCCAGUUUCUCCAUAUAACUAUGCUGUCACAGCCUCCUCAAGGAUCCACAUUUACGGUCGUUACUCUCAGGAACCAGUCAAAACGUUUUCUCGCUUCAAAGAUGCUGCUUAUUGUGCCACAUACAGAGACGAUGGCAAUCUGCUUGUUGCUGGCAGUGAGGAAGGCAGCAUUCGCCUCUUUGACCUUAGUGGAAGAGCACCCCUGAGACAAUUUGAUGGUCAUACUAAAGCUGCUCAUGUAGUGGGCUUCCUGUCUGAUAAAUACCGAAUAUUUUCUGGUGGUGAUGAUUACUCAUCAAAUUUGUGGGAUAUUCCAAGUGGUACGGAAAUCAUCUCAUACAGUGAACAUACAGACUAUGUGAGAUGCGGAUGUGCAAGUAAAGUGAAUGCAGAUGUGUUUAUAA
Long non-coding RNA from Calidris pugnax (ruff), 456 nucleotides. RefSeq lists it as uncharacterized. The record is from RefSeq and is a predicted model, not a curated record. The transcript is spliced from 3 exons. NCBI's taxonomy places the organism in Eukaryota, Metazoa, Chordata, Aves, Charadriiformes, Scolopacidae.